Mesocricetus auratus (golden hamster) is the source of this 484-nucleotide long non-coding RNA. RefSeq lists it as uncharacterized. The transcript has 2 exons. Lineage: Eukaryota; Metazoa; Chordata; Mammalia; Rodentia; Cricetidae. The record is from RefSeq and is a predicted model, not a curated record.
GAGACCGGAGGCUCUGGCUGGUGCACAGCUCACUGUGUGAACAGCUGUAACUCCAGGGCGCGCCUCAGAACGGUCACCCGCAACUGCAGCACACACAGCUUCCUGAAGAAGCCAGGCUGCCCGCGGCGUUUACCGCAGCAACAGAAAGCAAACCGAGACGAGCAGCGUGUGUUAGCGUCUGAGCCGUCUCUCCAGCCCUGAGUCAUCGUGUGCUCUUGAGAGACACAGCUCAAGCUCCAACUGACCCCUGCUUCCCACCACGCAAAAGGUCAUGCACCUCAGUGUAAGAGCCAACAUCAUAAAGCCUUUGGAAGGAAACGUAGGUGUCAGUAAUUGUAAUCUUGGAUUAGGUGAUGGUUUCUUUGAUGUAGCAUUUACGAUUCAAGUAAUGACCGAGAACAAAGUAGACAAAUCGGGUGCUUUAAAUGAGAGGUAGAUUGUUUCUCCGCAAAAGGGAUGCCAUCAGAAUAAAAACUCACUCAUA